GAUGAACGCUGGCGGCGUGCCUAAUACAUGCAAGUCGAACGCAUUGUGGUUGAAAUGAUAUGAAGAACUUGUUCAGAUUUGAUUUUAAACAUUGCAAUGAGUGGCGAACGGGUGAGUAACACGUGGGAAACCUACCUCUUAGCAGGGGAUAACAUUUGGAAACAAAUGCUAAUACCGUAUAAUAAUUAAAACCGCAUGGUUUUAGUUUAAAAGAUGGUCUUGCUAUCACUAAGAGAUGGUCCCGCGGUGUAUUAGUUAGUUGGUGAGGUAAUGGCUCACCAAGACAAUGAUACAUAGCCGAGUUGAGAGACUGACCGGCCACAAUGGGACUGAGACACGGCCCAUACUCCUACGGGA
Molecule: ribosomal RNA, 357 nt
Filed under: uncultured bacterium
Lineage: Bacteria
Description: bacterial SSU rRNA
Rfam family: Bacterial small subunit ribosomal RNA
Source: RNAcentral